CGGUCCUCGGUAGUGGCUUCCGGAGAUUGUUUUCCGUGGGUCUCAAUCGAAGGCCGG
This 57-nucleotide non-coding RNA is filed under the name Gleimia europaea. The record is from RNAcentral. Lineage: Bacteria; Bacillati; Actinomycetota; Actinomycetes; Actinomycetales; Actinomycetaceae.